GUUGGGUUAAGUCCCGUAACGAGCGCAACCCUUGUCCUAGUUACCAGCACGUUAUGGUGGGCACUCUAAGGAGACUGCCGGUGACAAACCGGAGGAAGGUGGGGAUGACGUCAAGUCAUCAUGGCCCUUACGGCCUGGGCUACACACGUGCUACAAUGGUCGGUACAAAGGGUUGCCAAGCCGCGAGGUGGAGCUAAUCCCAUAAAACCGAUCGUAGUCCGGAUCGCAGUCUGCAACUCGACUGCGUGAAGUCGGAAUCGCUAGUAAUCGUGAAUCAGAAUGUCACGGUGAAUACGUUCCCGGGCCUU
Molecule: ribosomal RNA, 308 nt
Filed under: uncultured Pseudomonas sp.
Lineage: Bacteria; Pseudomonadati; Pseudomonadota; Gammaproteobacteria; Pseudomonadales; Pseudomonadaceae
Description: bacterial SSU rRNA
Rfam family: Bacterial small subunit ribosomal RNA
Source: RNAcentral